Molecule: long non-coding RNA, 382 nt
Filed under: Notechis scutatus (mainland tiger snake)
Lineage: Eukaryota; Metazoa; Chordata; Lepidosauria; Squamata; Elapidae
Description: lncRNA (ENSNSUG00000005718.1)
Source: RNAcentral
UGCCCCCCCCCCCUCCCACCUUUCAGAGGCUCCUUGCUUGCUUUCCAGAGCCCACCCAACCCGGCAGCCAGAGAAGCCGCAGGAAAGACCCCAUGUUCCCUGACCUGGAGAUUCUGUAUUGGAAGAACGCCAAGGAACGUCUGGUGGCCCAGAGGAAAUUGCAGAAGAGGAUGGCUCCGCAUGUGGGGAUGCAGUUCCCAGAGCUUGGCGCCCUGGAGAUGGACCGGGAGGAGAAGGAGGAGGAGGAGGAGGAGGACUUGGAUGCUGCAGCUGCCGACGAUGGAGCAGAGGACUUUGUGGCAGAUGAGGAGAUCCCCCCGUUGGAAGAGGUGCCAGGUGGCGUGGCAGGUAAUGGUCGGACGAACUGGCCCCUUCCUGUACC